AACGCACAUUGCGCCCAUUAGUAUUCUAGUGGGCAUGCCUGUUCGAGCGUCAUUUCAACCCUUAAGCCUAGCUUAGUGUUGGGAAUCUGCUGUAUUGCAGUUCCUCAAAUACAACGGCGGAUCUGUAACAUCCUCUGAGCGUAGUAAAUUUUUAUCUCGCUUUUGUUAGGUGUUGCAGCUCUCAGCCGCUAAACCCCCAAAUUUUUGUGGUUGACCUCGGAUCAGGUAGGAAUACCCGCUGAACUUAA
Molecule: unclassified non-coding RNA, 248 nt
Filed under: uncultured Xylariales
Lineage: Eukaryota; Fungi; Ascomycota; Sordariomycetes; Xylariales
Description: sequence contains 5.8S rRNA gene, ITS2, 28S rRNA gene
Source: RNAcentral